GGCUCAGGAUGAACGCUAGCUACAGGCUUAACACAUGCAAGUCGAGGGGUAACAAGAGGAAAGCUUGCUUUUCUUGUUGACGACCGGCGCACGGGUGAGUAACGCGUAUCCAACCUGCCUAUAACUAGGGAAUAACCUUGCGAAAGUAAGACUAAUACCCUAUGAUUUCCUUUGAUGACAUCAGAUUAGGAAUAAAGAUUUAUCGGUUAUAGAUGGGGAUGCGUCUGAUUAGCUUGUUGGCGGGGUAACAGCCCACCAAGGCGACGAUCUGUAGCUGGUCUGAGAGGACGACCAGCCACACUGGGACUGAGACACGGCCCAGACUCCUACGGGAGGCAGCAGUGGGGAAUUUUGGACAAUGGACGCAAGUCUGACCCAGCCAUGCCGCGUGAAGGAUGAAGGCCCUCUGGGUUGUAAACUUCUUUUAUCUGGGGCGAAAGGCGGUUAUUCUUAGCCGUUUGACAGUACCAGAGGAAUAAGCACCGGCUAACUCCGUG
This 497-nucleotide ribosomal RNA is filed under the name uncultured bacterium. Its description in RNAcentral is "bacterial SSU rRNA". It matches the Rfam family "Bacterial small subunit ribosomal RNA", at positions 21 to 507 of the family's 1533-position model. The record is from RNAcentral.